UAGAUGACUCGAGUGUUACAAACAAUAGUUUUUAAAGAAUAAUGUGAAAUAAGUUAAUUUUUAUUUGGUAAAAAAAGUAAUCAACGUCAUAACUUAAUAACAUUAAGUAGUCCUACCAGACACUAACUUAGAUGAUCCUGGAGCAAAGGCUGUAAUUUGACCUGAACCCAAAUUGGUCUCUAUUUUAAAUAUUGUCUUGAACCAAUAAGUUAAGAGGACUAACCUUUCUGGACGACAUUGCCAUCGACAUCACUGCAGAUGAGAGAGAAAGAGAGACCAGAGUUGUGGACCCUGGAGGCAAUUACCAUACUGCCGUGAUAAUGUUACUUGGUCUAACCAUAACUUAAGUGAGAACUGAAGCCUACCAGUAAAAUGGGGGCGUUGUAAUUAAUAUCCUCCGACAUUGGAGAAUACAGGGGAGAGGUGCCAGAGGAAGAGGAGAUCGAGGAUGGGGCGAAGUAAAGACUAAGAUUGAAGAGAACUAACUAAUGGCCUGAUCACAGGGUGGAUGGCGAUGGAGGCAUGGAGGUUGGGGGAGAGGAGGCUGAAGAAGUGGAGACAAAUCAGUUUGGAUCCAUUAUGUUGAUUAGUUUAACAUUUAUUUUGAACAUCAGUAUUUACAUUUUUUUCUCAUUUAGAUUAUUAAAUUAAGAUAAUUUUAUUGUUUUUAUGAAGAUUUUUUCUUACAUUUUUAAUAUUUGUUUGUACUUCUGCCUGGUAAAAAAAAUACUGUUUAUUAUGUUUGUUAAAAUGAUUACUUUCACUAACUUACCUUGUCUUGGGUAACAAGAGAUAUCUUGAUAUUUAACUAGCAGGGUGCCUGUUCUAUGGGCGGGGAUUGUAUAAGUCAGUAGAAACCUUCUUAUAUUUCGAUACUUGGUAAAUUAAUCAUUUCCAACUUUAUAUAGUAUAGAUCGCUAUUCCUGUAUUGAUGUACUGAAAUGAAUAAAAUUAUAUGAAAUGAAA
Molecule: long non-coding RNA, 966 nt
Organism: Macrosteles quadrilineatus (aster leafhopper)
Lineage: Eukaryota; Metazoa; Arthropoda; Insecta; Hemiptera; Cicadellidae
Exons: 4
Source: RefSeq, a predicted model, not a curated record